GGGGGGCGGACUGGAAGGUGUCGGAAGCAUUAGCAGUAAGAAAACAUGUCAACAGAAUAAAAUAUUAACCAAUGACAGAAAGGCUCGGGAAAUCCCACCCCCAGCUCGGAGCCAAAGAGCGGGUCAGCCCUCCGUCCGCGGCCGGGGGAGAGAGCACCGCGCCCGGCCUGCGCUUCAUCACUCACUCGGGGGGCUUUGGACCACGUCCGGGGCGGCACAUGUGCACCACGAGCCACCCGCUUCACACACCACUUUAAAAAUAUCUAACUUUUGUCUAAUUUUUAUCCCAUGCGUCCGGAUGUGCUUUGUUCCGUGUGCAUUCAUGGCAGAAUUAAUAUGGGCAAUAAAAGUGAAAUGAAUGAAAAGAAAAACAGAUGCGCCGGUGUCUUUAAGGAAUUUAAUUCCGAGUGCGGCAUUUGAAAAGCCCUAGAAUAAAUUCAAUUAUGCACGAAAUAUUUUUCUACUCCACCCUAUUCCAGUGUUUAUAUUUAAUUCUGGGUAAUUGCUGGUGCUCUGCUGGGGUUCUUUGUGCUCUCAAACUGGGGGUCUAAUUCCUCAUUCCUCGUGACAUGAUACCGGACUCUUUAUUUGAACUGUGCGCUAAAGCUCUCCGUCCGGGUGCCGAGGCGAGGGCGGCGAGGGCGGCGAGGGCAGCGAGCGACACGCCGGACGCCGGACGCAGGACGCCGGGACGCCGACAGCCGAAGCAGCGCCGAGCAGCGCCGAGCAGCGCCCGAUGGAUGGCGGAGAAGAGGAACCGGCUGAGCGCCUUUCCACGCCACGAGUGGAGCGGACGUUCCGGCCCGGUCCGGACCUCUGGGUUAUUCAGUAAUCUCUACUUUAACGGGUGA
This 851-nucleotide long non-coding RNA is filed under the name Scleropages formosus (Asian bonytongue). Its description in RNAcentral is "lncRNA (ENSSFOG00015024544.1)". Lineage: Eukaryota; Metazoa; Chordata; Actinopteri; Osteoglossiformes; Osteoglossidae. The record is from RNAcentral.